Long non-coding RNA from Musa acuminata AAA Group (dessert banana), 3864 nucleotides. RefSeq lists it as uncharacterized. The record is from RefSeq and is a predicted model, not a curated record. NCBI's taxonomy places the organism in Eukaryota, Viridiplantae, Streptophyta, Magnoliopsida, Zingiberales, Musaceae. The transcript is spliced from 3 exons.
AGUUAGGGUGUCGAACUGCCACCGUCCGUCCCCCCAUGGCUUUUGGUACUUGCAGCUUGUUGUAUUCAAGUAUCUAGCAAAAGGGACGCACGCCAAAGGUUUCUUUCUUCCUCUGGUAGCCACUUCACGUAAGCGCAUGUGUUUGUUGGCAGCUCAACGACUGUAGCCCAUCAGAAAGGUUUGAUCCAAAGCGAGGUCAUCAUCAUCUUCUUGACAUGAUGGUGCAACUCAUUUUGGAAGGAGGACCGCAGAAGGAGGGCUUGCUGCUGUGUCACUGUCUUCCCUUAAACUGAUAAAAGAAGCCAAAAUCCAACAGCGAGGAGUCGAGUAAGAUCUGAAGCUCAAGGCUGAGGAGUGAGAGAUGGAAUCCCCUCCCUCUGAGCCGCCACCCUCGCCGCCCGCUGUCGAUCUCUCCCUCACCCUCGCCGCGGCCUCGUCGUCGCCGCCGUCCUCCGGCCACGACGCGAGGGACGUCAGGCUCUUUCCCUGCCUCUUCUGCAACAGGAAGUUCCUCAAGUCUCAGGCCCUCGGCGGACACCAGAAUGCCCACAAGAAAGAGCGAGGUAGUAGCUGGAAUCCCCACCUCUAUCUCCCACCACCACCGCCACCACCUACCACACACUCCUUUCCCAUCGCUUCCCACUCAUGCAAGCCUGUCCUCCACCGUUCCGGCGACUGCGGAGCCCCUCGCCUGCUGGCUGACCGGCCCUUCCUCAUCCUCAACUGGCAGAGGGCUUCACACCCCCAUCAGGCACUCUCACCAGACCUCGGUUCCGUCAAUUCCAUUGCUGCUGCUGCUGCUCCACUUCCAUCCACUGGUGACGACAGGACCAUUAUCGAUCUCUCCUUGAGGCUCUAAGUCUCAGUAGAAUGUGUUUGCUGCAGAGUAGUUCGAUUUUUCUUCCUUCUUUCUUUCAAUCUCUUCCCGAUAGCUCUGCUGCCGCCCGCAGUCCGCGGGUUGCAUGGUGGAGCAGACCGUGCAUGACAUGGCUACAAGCAUUUGUAUUCGGCGGGUGGUGGGAUGUCGAUAUAACGUGGAGGUGUACGUUUUGUAGGGAACGUUACAUCAUGUUCCCUCCCACUCGAAGUUAUUUGAUCAUCAUCCUUUUUCCGAAUAGUUCAGCCCAUCAAUCGGCCUGCAAGAUUCGUGUGGAUGUAUACGAGCAGAUGUGUCUCUCAGCUUUCAUUCGACUAUUGAAGAAAGAAGAAAGUCCUUACGUAACUUCAUUUAGGAAUCUCAUGGUGAUCGCCGGAAUCUACUUCAGGUAGGAAGCUGAUAUCCGGAAAUAAAUCUGACCCCAAUGAGAGGCUGAUACGACUCCCAAACUAAGGAUCGACAUUCCCUCAAGAGAACUUCCGACAGUCCCAACAGUUGAACUCUCAUAACACGACACCAUACCUUCUCUCUCUCUCUCUCUCUAACUUUGGACUUAUUGAGGUGAGUUUUGAUGUGAGUGUCGGAGAAGGAUCUCGUCAAACACAUUUCGUCAUUUCACCCUCGCGGAUCGUUUUUGAGAGAAUCUACCUUCCUUCUGUGGGAAAAUGGAUCAAAUCGAGCCUUGUCUCGCACUUUGGACAGAAGACCUCAAGCAGACCCGAAAUCUUUUGCUGUAUCAGUUCAUGAAGUCGACUUAGGUCUCCGGGACAGCCCAUCUUCCCCUCUGUCAGUUCUUAGUGGCCCCAAAAGAAAGAAAGAGAUAGAUAGAUAGAGAGAGAGAGAGAGAGAGAGAGAGAGAGAGAGAGAGAUGGCUAUCAUGAUGCUUCUUUAGUUACCUACAAGACUUGGAGAAGGAACACAUGGGAACAGGAGUUUUGAUCUCCUGUACAAGCUAAGGUGUAUACAUUGGAGGAGUCGCAUCAGAGCAGUAAAAAGAGAGGAAGCUUCGGAUGUGGUGGCUGUGGAUGAUAUCUUAAUUACUGGGGAGAGAUUCUCAUGUCUCUUUCACACAGUUUCAAUUCCACCUUGUGUUUCUCUACUGCCAAACCUCUAUUUUCAGAUCAGUGAUGUCCAAAACUAUAGAACUUGACUUCAAUUCAUUCUUUUGCUGGGCAUGAAAUUUUUGAUCCUAUAACUGCGUAUAUAAUGCGCUAAUUGAGAUUGCCUCCUAUAGCCUCAAAGCAUUGCAAAGUCGUACAAAGUGCAAACUUCUAUUCACCAAAACUUAAUCCAAUCACCAUGACUUACUGAUGAUGAUCACUUACCAGUCUGCAACCAAAACCUUACGGAACUGUUCAUCUGUCUCAGCUUUUGCCCCUAACACAAAUGUCGGCAAGCUUUUCGGCAUUCUUUAGCCCCUAAUCAUUGUCCUUCUACCAAACAUUACCCUCUGUAUCAAGCUUUCUCUCCUGCAUCAUUGAUCUUUAAUCAUUGAGUCUCCAAAUCUCCCCCCUUCUGUUGCAUGUCAUGUGUUGUUUCUCAGUGGAUCAUCCUGUCGUGUCUUCGACAUGUCGAUCGUACUUUUUUGUCACAGAAGCAGAUGGGAGGAACCAGUGUGGUGGAUGCAGGGGAAAAAGCCUGAACACAAUGAAUCCACGAUAACUCACGACAGGAUCUAACAAUCUGUUCUUGUUGAACGAGGCCGGCAAUCACCUCAGGAGCAUCAUAACCUCGAGGCAUGCAAGGAGAUGGCUGUCUGCCUCAGUCACUAUGUGACUUCGGGUGAUCUCUCUCGGUGAAGUGCACCCACUCGAUGCCAUUGUCAGCUCAAACUCGUCUCUCAGAGUCUGCAGCACCUUCCUCACUCCAGCUUCACCUUCAGCAGCCAAAGCAAACGCCACAGGCCUUCCGAUCUGCAAUCGACCAGAAUUCACAGGUAACUUUCUUGUUUCAUGUGGAAUCUUGGAAUGUGGGAGAAGCGAUGAAUCUUUCUUUGCCAUGUUUGCUCACAAAGACACCAGAGGCUCCCAAAGCUAAAGCCUUGAACACAUCAGUUCCUCUGCGAGCGCCACCGUCGAGAAAGACAGGAACACGGCCCUGUGCGGCUUUGACAACCUAAAUUUGCACACGAGAUGGUUCUUAGAACACUGCAAAAGAAGGACAUCUUGAUGCAUUCUUUUCUCAGAACAUGUGAAGUUUUGUUUAUGUUCACGUGCCAACCACGAAGAUUCCAUGAUCAAUUCAAGCACACAGUGGAUUUCUUCUUGUGAUUAAGAAAAGCUCGGUUCGAGUUGCAUAUGUACCUCUUCCAGUGCACUGGUAGUAGCUGGAACGUAAUCAAGCUGACGAGCUCCAUGGUUGGAGACAGUGAUACCAGCUGCACCCGCUUGAAUGGCAAGUCUCGCUGCAUUUGGAAAGGAAACACAUUGUUCGAUGAAUCAAUUGGUCUAACAUUAAUAAACAGGAAGCUAUAGAAGAGACAUUGCUUACUGUCCUCUGCAGUAAGGACUCCUUUCACAAAAAUGGGCAUAGUAGUGAUUAACAUCUACAAACAUUAAUCAAGUAAUGUUAAUCAAGGAUCAAGGUGAUAAACCUGCAUACCUUCCAGCUUAAUGAUCGAUCAAUUUGACCCGCUACAUAUGAGGAAGGCCAGAGUCAUCGGUCUGCACAAAACAACAGAUGAAUUGUGCAACAAAUACUAACAAUGAAAAGUUCAAAUUGCAUAGAGAAAACUAUUAUUCAUCACCUUGUCCAUCUUUCCAAGGUCCAAACCCUCAAAGUUUUUUGAGUGUCAAAAAUGGUGGCAAAGUGAAUCUGCAGAACAUUCAAGAAUAGGACGGCACAACAUUAUGAAUUAUGAAGAAACAACUGAUCAGAGUAAAACCAGCAACUGGGUGCAGGGGGAAGGUCAAGGGCCAUCCUGCUCUAUCAUGCUCAAAACAAGUGCAAGAGAAUAAGCACUUAAAAGACGAUGCUUUGGAGUGUUC